Molecule: long non-coding RNA, 626 nt
Organism: Vigna angularis (adzuki bean)
Lineage: Eukaryota; Viridiplantae; Streptophyta; Magnoliopsida; Fabales; Fabaceae
Exons: 2
Source: RefSeq, a predicted model, not a curated record
CGAUAUUCCAACAACGCCAAUUUGACAAAAAUUUGACAACGCCACGUAUCAAGUUUUAAUUGGUCGAAUUUGAAUGCUUUUUUUUAAUUUAAAAUCUGAUUUGAAAUGGGUUGAAGUUUGGAUUCCGAAACUGCCCUCUUCGUUUUCGAACUCUAUCUUCUCUCCUUAUCACUGUCUUCUCUCUCCAUUUUGGGGAUUUUAAUUUCAUUUCAACUUCUCUCUUCAUAGCAGUGUUCUCCUUCCUCCAUUUUUAGGGUUUCAUUUUGUUUUGAACAUCUCUCUCCUGCUUCCCUGUCACCAUUGUUUUCCUUUGAAUCUUUGUGGACAUUGGGUUUGUUUAUUUGAGUUGUAGAUUAUGCUUGUCUCGUUCGGUGUGGAUUUGUCUCGUUCGGUGUCUCUGUGGACAUUGAGUUUCUUUCUUUGAGUUAGAGAUUACCCUUGUCUCGUUCGGUGUCGAUUUGGUGGAAGUUGUUACCUUUUUUGUGCAAUGGGUUCGUCCGGUGACAAUGGUUCUUCGAACAAGGGAGCUGGUAAUCGUUUACCAGUAGAAAAAUCUCCUUUUGUACCGAAAGUUGAAGAGUGCUACCCAGACGUGGCUUAACCACUCCCCAAGAAUAUUUUGGAUU